Molecule: long non-coding RNA, 1290 nt
Filed under: Vigna radiata
Lineage: Eukaryota; Viridiplantae; Streptophyta; Magnoliopsida; Fabales; Fabaceae
Description: long non-coding RNA (VRAD_LNC006592)
Source: RNAcentral
UCCGAAGUCUAAAUUUGAGAUUAUUACAUUUUGACUUUUUUCUUUCGAGACAUCAGUGCACACAUGCUUGAAUUUGUUGGCAAGUGGAGAAAUGAGAGAUGUUUAGAAGGGUUUAUAGGAGAAUGAGAUAACUGUAUGGACAAGUCAUUCCUCAUAUAAUCCUCAAAGGAGAUGUGAUAUGAGAAUGCCAGGGUGAACACGAGAUACACAAAGGGUGCCCCAGCUUGAUGUUAUGGAAAAUGAGCUGGUGUUUGGAUCCAUGAAUGUUAGGGUGAGAAAAUUUCAAAUGAGAUUUGCAAAGCUGCCCCCAGUCUUGAGGUUAUGGAUUGAUGAAAAACUUGUGUGAGACUCACAAAGCCGCCCACUUUUUGUUUGCUUUUUAUUUGUUUAUUGUGGUAUGAGUUGAUGAAAAACUCGGGUGAGACUCACAAAGUUGUCCCGGUUUUUUCUUUGGCAAGGGUUCUGUUUGGAAUAGGUAUUGGACAUGAAAAGGAUCGGCUAAAAGGAUGGCCCCAAAUUAGUUUGAUUUUUCUUUUGCAUGCUUCUGGUUAGAUGGCCGGGUGAUCCCCUCUUCUCGAGACAUUACUUUUUCUUCUUCUUUUUUCUCUUUUUUUUUUUCUUCUCUUCUCUUUUUUUACGACACAUUGAAAAUCAUUUCCCCUUAUCGCAAAGUUAAGCUUUAUGAAAAUUUUAGAAAACAUUAUCCAAUCUGUGUGGACUUUAUUAGGCUUGUAACGUGGCUAGGGGCUAAAAGGUAUCAGAAGAAAAGGUAUAAAGGCCCAAAUGAAUGUUUGUUGGUUAUUAUUUUUUGAAACAAAGGUUAUCAUCUAGGCAUUGCAUCAACUAUUUGACUUUUUGAGCACUUUGCUUUUCUUGAACUUCGUUUUUCAUUCUUUUUGCUCAACAUCACUUUGUGAUUUUUUGUUGUUCUUUUUGUUUUUUCUUUUGUUUUUGUUUUUUUUUAUUCACUCUUCUUGAUGAAUUCUCUUUGUUUGAUCAUUGAGUGCUCUUCAUUUGCAACAUGAAUUGACUCCUACCUGAUGACAACCCUUGCUUGGGGAUGAUUUUGAAAAAGAAUUUAUUUUUGGCUCAAAUGGGGUGACAAUGGAUAUAUAUUUUUGGCUUUUUAGAUAAAGUCAAGAAGGCCACACAUUAUUUUGAACUCUGAUUGCUUUAUUUUCAAAAGACUAACUCUUCGACUAGGUGACCUCAACAUGAGUCGUUUUUUUUUAGAUUGCCCUUUCGGGUUUUCAAUCUAGAGGACUUAUUAAUACUUUUUUUUUGUCUCAA